This 1368-nucleotide ribosomal RNA is filed under the name uncultured bacterium. RNAcentral describes it as "bacterial SSU rRNA". It matches the Rfam family "Bacterial small subunit ribosomal RNA", at positions 28 to 1381 of the family's 1533-position model. The record is from RNAcentral.
GAUGAACGCUGGCGGCGUGCCUAAUACAUGCAAGUCGAGCGAACGGACGAGAAGCUUGCUUCUCUGAUGUUAGCGGCGGACGGGUGAGUAACACGUGGAUAACCUACCUAUAAGACUGGGAUAACUUCGGGAAACCGGAGCUAAUACCGGAUAAUAUUUUGAACCGUAUGGUUCAAAAGUGAAAGACGGUCUUGCUGUCACUUAUAGAUGGAUCCGCGCUGCAUUAGCUAGUUGGUAAGGUAACGGCUUACCAAGGCAACGAUGCAUAGCCGACCUGAGAGGGUGAUCGGCCACACUGGAACUGAGACACGGUCCAGACUCCUACGGGAGGCAGCAGUAGGGAAUCUUCCGCAAUGGGCGAAAGCCUGACGGNAGCACGCCGCGUGAGUGAUGAAGGUCUUCGGAUCGUNAAACUCUGUUAUUAGGGAAGAACAUAUGUGUAAGUAACUGUGCACAUCUUGACNGCACCUAAUCAGAAAAGCACGGCUAACUACGUGCCAGCAGCCCGCGUAAUACGUANGUGGCAAGCGUAUCCGGAAUUAUGGGCGUAAGCGCGCGUAGGCGGUUUUUUAGUCUGAUGUGAAAGCCCACGGCUCAACCGUGGAGGGUCAUUGGAAACUGGAAAACUUGAGUGCAGAAGAGGAAAGUGGAAUUCCAUGUGUAGCGGUGAAAUGCGCAGAGAUAUGGAGGAACACCAGUGGCGAAGGCGACUUUCUGGUCUGUAACUGACGCUGAUGUACGAAAGCGUGGGGAUCAAACAGGAUUAGAUACCCUGGUAGUCCACGCCGUAAACGAUGAGUGCUAAGUGUUAGGGGGUUUCCGACCCUUAGUGCUGCAGCUAACGCAUUAAGCACUCCGCCUGGGGAGUACGACCGCAAGGUUGAAACUCAAAGGAAUUGACGGGGACCCGCACAAGCGGUGGAGCAUGUGGUUUAAUUCGAAGCAACGCGAAGAACCUUACCAAAUCUUGACAUCCUUUGACAACUCUAGAGAUAGAGCCUUCCCCUUCGGGGGACAAAGUGACAGGUGGUGCAUGGUUGUCGUCAGCUCGUGUCGUGAGAUGUUGGGUUAAGUCCCGCAACGAGCGCAACCCUUAAGCUUAGUUGCCAUCAUUAAGUUGGGCACUCUAAGUUGACUGCCGGUGACAAACCGGAGGAAGGUGGGGAUGACGUCAAAUCAUCAUGCCCCUUAUGAUUUGGGCUACACACGUGCUACAAUGGACAAUACAAAGGGCAGCGAAACCGCGAGGUCAAGCAAAUCCCAUAAAGUUGUUCUCAGUUCGGAUUGUAGUCUGCAACUCGACUACAUGAAGCUGGAAUCGCUAGUAAUCGUAGAUCAGCAUGCUACGGUGAAUACGUUCCCGGGUCU